RNAcentral lists this ribosomal RNA (253 nucleotides) under uncultured bacterium. Its description in RNAcentral is "partial 16S ribosomal RNA". It matches the Rfam family "Bacterial small subunit ribosomal RNA", at positions 524 to 776 of the family's 1533-position model. The record is from RNAcentral.
GACAGAGGUGCCGAGCGUUAGGCGGAAUCACUGGGCUUAAAGCGUGUGUAGGCGGGUCGUUAAGUGUCUUGUGAAAUCCCACCGCUCAACGGUGGAACCGCUGGGCAUACUGGCGAUCUUGAGCAGUCCAGGGGCGAGCGGAACAAGCGGUGGAGCGGUGAAAUGCGUAGAUAUCGCUUGGAACGCCGACGGUGAAAACAGCUCGCUGGGGACUCGCUGACGCUGAGAGACGAAAGCUAGGGGAGCGAAUGGG